CUUACCGAAAGCAUGUUCAAUGAGUUACUCAGAUUCAUGGCCCAGGAAUUGAAUCUACACGGUUUAAUAACUAUUUGCAUGGCUCUAAAUGCUUAAUUAGAAGACGAAAUGAAUCGCAAGGGGAAACUAACAUGCGAGAGAGGAAGAGGAGGUAGCCACAACCAAAGAGCUUGGUUCAAUACUUCAAUGGCUAGAAUAAUGAACGAUAUGAAGAUCAGGUAGCAUUAUAUAUGUCAAUAAGAAGCAGAGGAGAGAAGCAGCCCGCAUCGCAGGAGACAAGGACUUCACUUGUUUGGCCAGUUCAGGACUUCAGGAUGUUGUCGAUGAUAUCCAUGCUAUAUUCCCUCGCUUCAUGCUUAACAAUGAGGGAGAGACUAAGUGAGGGGCUGAAGGCCGUUGGUGCUGUCAGAAUGUUUUUUUGGAGUUUUGGUGGAUGAUGCUCAGUGACUGCAAUGCAAAGGAUCCUUCUGUUUUGU
Zea mays is the source of this 476-nucleotide long non-coding RNA. RefSeq lists it as uncharacterized. Lineage: Eukaryota; Viridiplantae; Streptophyta; Magnoliopsida; Poales; Poaceae. The record is from RefSeq and is a predicted model, not a curated record. The transcript is spliced from 5 exons.